Molecule: small nuclear RNA, 20 nt
Filed under: Arabidopsis thaliana (thale cress)
Lineage: Eukaryota; Viridiplantae; Streptophyta; Magnoliopsida; Brassicales; Brassicaceae
Description: snRNA_08635
Source: RNAcentral
AACAAGGAUUCCCUUAGUAA